GGGUGUGAAGGCAAUCUGGCUGGGACAUCUGUCACCCCAUUGAUCUCCAGGGUUGAUUUGGCUGAUCUGGCUGACUAGGUAGGUGUCCCCAUCCUCCCUCACCGCUCUAUAUGUAUCCCUGCCGAAGCUGCGUGCUGCGUGGGAGAGGACAGCCUUGGCUGAAUAGAGAUAGACUGGUCUUCCGUUGAGGGUAUAGUUGUGCUUCCCUGCUAGAACCUCCAAACAAGCUCUCAAUAUAAUUUUGCAAAAUAGUAUUGAAAGUGUAUGGUUAUAUCAUAUUUGAAUUAAAUAAUUUUUCAGUUAGCUUUUCAAUUUAU
Molecule: non-coding RNA, 317 nt
Organism: Erinaceus europaeus (western European hedgehog)
Lineage: Eukaryota; Metazoa; Chordata; Mammalia; Eulipotyphla; Erinaceidae
Source: Rfam